This 253-nucleotide ribosomal RNA is filed under the name uncultured bacterium. RNAcentral describes it as "partial 16S ribosomal RNA". It matches the Rfam family "Bacterial small subunit ribosomal RNA", at positions 524 to 776 of the family's 1533-position model. The record is from RNAcentral.
UACAGAGGGGGCAAGCGUUGUUCGGAAUUACUGGGCGUAAAGGGCGCGUAGGCGGCCUGUUAAGUCGAACGUGAAAUCCCCAGGCUCAACCUGGGAACUGCGUCUGAUACUGGAUGGCUUGAAUCCGGGAGAGGGAUGUAGAAUUCCAGGUGUAGCGGUGAAAUGCGUAGAUAUCUGGAGGAAUACCGGUGGCGAAGGCGGCAUCCUGGACCAUUACUGACGCUGAGGCGCGAAAGCUAGGGGAGCAAACGGG